ACAAGCGGUGGAGUAGUGUGGUUUAAUUCGAUGAUACGCGAGGAACCUUACCUGGGCUCAAAUGUAUGUUGACGUAUUCUGAAAGGGAUACUUCUUCGGACAAUAUACAAGGUGCUGCAUGGUUGUCGUCAGCUCGUGCCGUGAGGUGUCGGGUUAAGUCCCAUAACGAGCGCAACCCCUAUCAUUAGUUGCCAUCAGGUCAAGCUGGGGACUCUAAUGAAACUGCCUACGCAAGUAGUGAGGAAGGUGGGGAUGACGUCAAGUCAUCAUGGCCCUUAUGUCCAGGGCGACACACGUGCUACAAUGGCCGGCACAGCGGGAAGCGAGGCAGUGAUGCCAAGCGGAUCCCUUAAAGCCGGUCUCAGUUCGGAUUGAAGUCUGCAACUCGACUUCAUGAAGCUGGAAUCGCUAGUAAUCGCAGAUCAGCCAAGCUGCGGUGAAUACGUUCCCGGGCCUU
This 457-nucleotide ribosomal RNA is filed under the name uncultured Sphingobacteriales bacterium. Its description in RNAcentral is "bacterial SSU rRNA". It matches the Rfam family "Bacterial small subunit ribosomal RNA", at positions 925 to 1382 of the family's 1533-position model. Lineage: Bacteria; Pseudomonadati; Bacteroidota; Sphingobacteriia; Sphingobacteriales. The record is from RNAcentral.